CACCCUCAGCAGCUUGUUCCCGCCUCCUGUAGGCGCAAUUUGCCCAGAAAACGGAGGAGCGUUUCUUUAUAUAUUCCUGCGGGUUUCUGCAGCUUCAUAUCUCCGGCCCUGGGACUCCUCCACCACCAUGCUGAAGCUGCUCUCUGAGGACAUCUGAAGUGAAAUGCAUCCUCCUCCUGCAGCAGCUGAACCUGUUCCUGUUCUUCCAUCCUGCAGCACACAAAGCCUGUGAGAGCAGGCCGUGUUUGUCCUUUCACCAGCACAGAGAAGAGCCAGCUGAUGAUGCUCAAACAUGUCGGGCAAUCUCUACAAAGGCAACGAAGUCAGCUGCUGCAUCAAAUACUUCAUCUUCGGAUUCAACAUCCUGUUCUGGCUGCUGGGCAUGGCCUUAGUUGGAAUCGGACUGUGGGCAUGGAGUGAGAAGGGGGUUCUGUCCAACAUCUCGUCCAUCACAGACCUGGGGGGGCUGGACCCAGUCUGGCUCUUCAUGGUGGUCGGGGCGGUCAUGUUCAUUCUGGGCUUUGCAGGAUGCAUCGGAGCGCUACGGGAAAACACGUUUCUACUCAAGUUUUUCUCGGUGUUUCUGGGUAUCAUCUUUUUCUUGGAGCUGACGACAGGAGUGCUGGCGUUCGUCUUUAAGGACUGGAUUAAAGACCAGCUCAACCUGUUCAUCAACAACAACAUCCGGGCGUACCGGGACGACAUCGAUCUGCAGAACCUCAUCGACUUCACUCAGGAAUACUGGGAUUGCUGCGGUGCGUUCGGAGCAGACGACUGGAACCUGAACAUCUAUUUUAACUGUACUGACGCCAAUCCCAGUCGGGAAAAGUGUGGCGUUCCCUUUUCCUGCUGCACCAAGGACCCAGCGGAGGAUGUAAUAAACACUCAGUGUGGAUACGACAUUCGGGCUAAACCGGACGCGGAGCAGAAGGACUACAUCAAUGUUAAAGGCUGCGUGCCGCAGUUUGAGAAAUGGCUACAGGACAACCUAACGUUAGUGGCCGGGAUCUUUAUCGGAGUUGCUCUACUGCAGAUUUUUGGGAUUUGUUUGGCCCAAAACUUAGUGAGCGACAUCGAAGCAGUGCGGGCGAGCUGGGUGCCCCCCCCUCUCUCCAUUCGCCGACUCCCACCUCACCCGAGCAAGAAAGCAGCGGCUUACUACUCAUGAGACACGCACACGCACACACGUGCUGUAUGUGUGUGUUUGUAGCCGUUUCUUUACCUGAUGCUGAAGCAGCAUUUUACUUCUAACAGCUGCGGGUCUUUGAAGGCGCCUCCUUGAACACAUCGUCAGAGGACCUCACCGAUCGCCGGCACCAUUUUGUUCACUGAACCAGCACCUUUUUUUCGAGGCACUAAUACGUGAAAUGCUCUGUAUAUAACACUUUGUGAGUUUGUUGGGGGAGGGAGGUUUAAACAUGCACUACAUGCAGGAUCGUCACAAUGCUCAGUUUUGAUAGCUACGCGUAGAGAAGACGUAGGAGUUUUGAUACAUCUUUUUGAUAUUAGAUCGGUAUUUUUCACUGUGGACUUAACGCUCCAUUGCUAAACCCAUCAUGUAGGACUGGAAUAGUUGUGUACAAGAAAACUGAGGAUCUGCUUCUGUUAAAGUUGAGUGCUUGCUUUAUGUACCUUUCCACCACUGGUCUAGGACUGAGGCUCUGUAAUGUUCCGAAACUAUAAACAGGAUGUCCUUUUUUUUAAUGCUUCAGCUACAUGCAUUCCAUUUCAACCAAUCACAACAAGCGUUUCUGCUCACUGAAUAAUCUGCUUUAGCUAAACAGAAUUCUUGUCGUCGCACGAACAGUGAAUUUGGAUUCCUGUUUAUGUGUGCGUGCUGUCAUGGUGUCAGAGAUGAGCCAAACAUUCUCCACAUAGACAGCUUUAAAGAGGAAAUGACUACAAAUUACUCCGGUUAUUUACUGUAGCGUAAUGACUUACUACUCAACUAGUCUAUAAACAGAUAUACCUGCAUAUGAAUGCAGAAUCUGUGAGAAGAUUUUGGCAUCGGAAGCGUUCUGGUUUCCGUUUGUAGUCCAAGUAGUAUCGACCAAUCCCAUUUGAGCAUGUUGAAUGCAGGUAAAUAGUCUCUGUGGAGAGCAAAAGAGGCGGAACGCAUCGGUCGAAAUGCAUUCUUGGAACCCACCGGCUAUCGUCUGAAGAUGAUUUAGCUUUUUAUUGGUUUAAAAUUAGCACGUACACGUCGUCUCUCAACUCCAACUCCAGUCUCGGACUGUGAGGAAGUCUUGGCCCAGAUAUCCGUUAUCUGGAUAUCCGCUGGCUACACUGGAAUUCCAGAAAUAUAGAUCCCCAGAGGCUUAUCGUCAUCAAACCGAUAGCCGAUGGGUUCAGAGAUCGCUACUCAACUUAUGGAGUUUAGUGAUGAGUAUACUGCUUUUCACAUUUAGGUCCGGGUAUCAAACAAUACUUUUUUUUGGUAUUGACUGAAAUCAAGUACCGAAACCUGGCACUGCAUGUCAGAUACUUUAAUUAACUUCUUUUCAAUUUUAGAGGAUUUUAUUUGGGUAAAGUUCUUGUAUAGCAGCUUGUGUUUAGACAACAUUUAAAAUAAUAAUAAUAAUAAUAAUAAUAACUUUGGCUUCUUUUAUUGAUGGAUAUUUUUUUUCAAGUCGAUCUCAAGACAAUACAGUUAAAAAAUACAAUGCUGUCUGUAGGGUUGAAACAAUUAUUGGAUGCUAUAAUCACUCCGUCUCUCAAUACUGACCCAUGAAAUGAUCCGUAGCUCCGUGUAAAAAUGCUAUCCAGAGGUGGAAACUGAAGCUUUAACAGUCAGAGUUAGCCCGAAUCAUCUAGGUAGCUGUCUAGGCAGAGGUGUUCGGUCCCAGCAACUAAAAAAACAUCCCAACUUUGCAAGAUACACAUGCGAUUUGGUUAACAGAAUACUUAGGAGGACCAAUAACUUAACGUCCACGUUGUGUGUGGGUAUUAAGAUUGGCUUGAAGAAUCAGAUCUAACCCCUUUAAUGAAAAAUUUGUCAAAAACAUAUUUGUAUUUCUCAAACUAAUUAAUCAAAAAAGGUUAAGUUUUGGCAUCUGUACCGAAAAUCCAACACUAGCCCAGUCCCAUCACACUGUAUCCCCUUUUUAAAACAUUUAUUCAGACGUUAAACAGUCUGGAUAAUUCUGAAACUGAACCUACGUAGCUGUAACCUCACUGUCAUUUCACGGUCAUAUUUUGGUUGUAACCGUCGCCAAGGAGAUUAUGUUUUACUUUACAGUUUAGUGGAUAGAACAUGAACCAAGGAUCAAGUCAUUUUUCCAUUUUUCAGAUAGCGAGAUGGGCGUUUUGGAACAUUUUCAAUAUCGUCUUAUACAUUUUCUGCCCUUACUUGAAUGAAAACAAACCAUCCAGCGAUUGUCUUUCACUACGCACAUCUGAUCAGUGUAUACAAGUUUGAGUGAACAAAAUCUUUAAAUCCAUUCUGGUAUUGAAACAAAUGGAAAGUGUUAAAGAUGUGGAUUUAUUUCUCCGUGUUUCUUUUGAUGGUUUAAAAGCGAUUAUUUGCUCAGAGCAUGCAUCACUUGUUUUUGUUUUGCGAAGUAUUUACAGUAUUUUUUCAGUAAAGUAUGUUCGGAUUGAUAUUGUGGAACUCGUACACUGUUACAAGUGUUAAGCUACGUUAAAAAAAGGGAUCGAUAGUGUUUUUUGAUACUAAAUAUUUAUUGUACAUUUUGAUUUGGCUUCAUGACUUCCCUUGGUGUAUUGGACGGCAACGCAUUCGUUACUACUGAAGCCGAUUGGUCGCUCUACAGAUUAGAGCUGUGUGAGGUUGUAAAUGCUCGAAUGUGGUGUGCUAGAGUCUGUCACUCAUCACUACCUGUACCACUUCUACUGAUUGUUUCACAGUAUGUCCCACAAACACUGUAAUGUAACUACCUCCUCUAAUUUCCUGUCUCAUGUCCUGUUGAAAUUGGACUGAUUUUAAUAUCAAGUAAAAUUAAUUAAGGUGACAAAAAAA
Sebastes umbrosus (honeycomb rockfish) is the source of this 3979-nucleotide RNA transcript. It is a transcript of the gene named tetraspanin 5a, with no coding region annotated. The record is from RefSeq and is a predicted model, not a curated record. Lineage: Eukaryota; Metazoa; Chordata; Actinopteri; Perciformes; Sebastidae. The transcript is spliced from 11 exons.